GGCGAAUGAACAGGGAUGAGCUCAGGCUGGAAACCGAUACAUCUGUGUCGGGCUGUAGCCUGCAGGCAUAGCGCUAUCGGCGGCUCGAGCGCAAGCCUCUUGGAAUAGAGCGUGUGCCCGGGUGAGAAUCCUGCAUUUCGCUCGAUGUCCGCUGUCCACAGUGCUUGUCCUGAGAGUCACGCUCCUCGGAAUUGGAGCGUAAAUCAGGUGGUAAGUUUCAUCCAAAGCUAAAUAGAAGCUCGAGACCAAUAGCAAACAAGUACCAUGAGGGAAAGAUGAAAAGGACUUUGGAAAGAGAGUUAAAAGUGUUUGAAAUUGCUGAGAGCGAAGCGAACGGAGCCACAUGUCGUGCUGAGAUUGCUGUGGGUCUUUGUGAGCCUUGAGCAUGUAAGCGCAAGCUGACUGCUUAUGUGUGAGCAUUUACCCGCAGUGUUUCUCAGCAUGCGAGUCAUUAGCCACAUUUGUUUGAGGAUGGCCUUCAGCUCACAUGGUACACUUGUUAGUGUUCCUCUGUGCGGUGUGGGACUCAGACAGGUGUGGCUUGUUGACCCAGUGGUUUUUUUCGACCCGUCUUGAAACACGGACCAAGGA
This 591-nucleotide ribosomal RNA is filed under the name Breviolum minutum. RNAcentral's name for it is "partial 28S ribosomal RNA". It matches the Rfam family "Eukaryotic large subunit ribosomal RNA", at positions 88 to 672 of the family's 3401-position model. Lineage: Eukaryota; Dinophyceae; Suessiales; Symbiodiniaceae. The record is from RNAcentral. RNAcentral also lists the same sequence under 1 other name.